Molecule: long non-coding RNA, 1436 nt
Organism: Bubalus bubalis (water buffalo)
Lineage: Eukaryota; Metazoa; Chordata; Mammalia; Artiodactyla; Bovidae
Exons: 2
Source: RefSeq, a predicted model, not a curated record
GACCCCGCCCGCCGCGGGGCGGGUCCAGCCGCGGGCCACCUCCCACCCCCGGAGGCCCCUGCGCGCGCAAGCCCGCCCUCGCGCGCGCCAUUGUUGUUCGGCUGGCUGCUUAGCCCUCUUUUGGUCCGUGGGCCGGGAACGGCGGGGAGGGGCUGUUUAGCUGCCCUGCUUUCGAGGGCACCUUGGAGAGCUCGGGCCGAAGUAGGGCGCGGUGUCCCCCGUCCCUUACCCUGCAGCACCGACUCUGCUAGGAGGCUUGAACUCUGAGACUAGCAUGGUUGUCGACUUCCUGCGUUGGAAUAUGACCUCCACGGAGUGGUCUCGCUGCUGUCUAGCUCAGUGACUGACAGCCUGGAAGUCUCCAGUCAUGUUUGUGGAAUUCAUGAAUGUGCCCUGCCUGUUUAACUGGUAAAGAAUUCGAGGCACGGAGAUUGUGUAACUUGUCCAGAAUCACUGCGGAGUAGGUGCUGAAAUCGUCUUUAAAUUGCAGACUGGCUCAGAACCUGAGUUCUUAAGCACAGUUCCAUUAAAGAACCCAAGACGUGCAUCAGCUUCCUUUGCAGGAAGUUAGAGAACUAACAGGUUUGCCAGGAGGGAAGGGAUAGGGAGUUUGGAAUGGACAUAUGCGCGCUGCUAUAUUUUCAGCGCAACCAGCAAGCACCUGCUGUGUAGGGCAGGGAGCUCUGCUCAAUGUUAGAUGGCAGCCCCGCUGGGAGGGGAGUUGGGAGGAGAAUGCGUGUUCACCACUGAGUCCUGUCAGGCUUUUUGAAACGCCAGGGACUGUAACCUGCCAGGCUUCUCUGUGCAUGAAAUGUUCCAGGCAAGGAGACUGGAGUAGGUUGCCAUUUCCUACUCCAGGGCCUCUUCCGGGCCCAGGGAUCAAAUACGAGUUUCUUGCGUCUUCUGCAUUGGCAGGUGGAUUCUUCACCACUGUGACGCCUGAGAAGCCCCUCUGGGGAGAAUGAAUACACAUGUAUGUAUGGCUGAGUCCCACUUGAAACUGUCGCAAACAUUGUUAAUUGGCUGUACUCCAGUAUAAAAUAAAAUGUUAAAAAAAUUUGUUUCACUACAGUCUCAGACAACCGGCAGUCUGGGCAUCUGAAACCAAAACAAAAAUCCUUUUGGAAUUUGGUAGAGUGUUAAAUCGAUUUUUCCUCAGGAUGAGGGUUGUUUUUUUUUUUUCAAUUCGCUGUUUGUUUAUAGCCCUGUUGUGAGGACAUCAGUACUGACUGUCUGACAGCUGGGAUUAAGGACAAAUCUUUGUUCAGUGCCACCUGUAUUCUGGAAUUGGUAGUUUAGGGUCAGGAUAUGCAUGAUGUAGGCAUUCUGUUAUAAACUGUGUUGUACUUGACAGAUACAGAUCACCCUUAUGUAUUGAUUUAUCAGGAAAAUAAGAUGAAAGUAUUUUUAAAUAAAAGUUCACGUCACUCAUGUUC